Molecule: ribosomal RNA, 1038 nt
Filed under: Triticum aestivum (bread wheat)
Lineage: Eukaryota; Viridiplantae; Streptophyta; Magnoliopsida; Poales; Poaceae
Description: partial small subunit ribosomal RNA
Source: RNAcentral
AUGGGCCAGAGGUUCAGGUUCUUCUGCUGCGGCUGCGGGGCCAAUGCGGCCGACGGCGACAUAGAGGUCGACGACGAGUCGGAGUGCGGCGGGAGCAAAGGGGGCGAGGAGGUCGGGACGCGGCAGCUGUCGUGGGCGCAGGUGGAGAGGAUGACGGGCGGGUUCACCUCCGCCGUGGUCGGCGAGGGCGGGUUCAGCACCGUCUACCUCGCGCGCCUCUCCGGCGCCCUCGCCGCCGUCAAGGUCCACCGCAGCAGCGAGCGCAUCCACCGCGUCUUCCGCCAGGAGCUCGAGACGCUCCUCCGCAUCCGCCACCCGCACAUCGUCCGCCUCCUCGGCUUCUGCGAGCAGCAAGAUGAGGGCGUGCUGGUGCUGGAGUUCGCGGCGAACGGAAACCUGUACGAGAAGCUCCACGGCGGCGGCAAGGCCGCGGGGGCGAUGCCGUGGUCGCGGCGGGUGUCGGUGGCACUACAGGUGGCGCAGGCGCUCGAGUACCUGCACGAGCGGUGCGAGCCGCAGGUGGUGCACGGCGACGUGAAGGCGUCGAACGUGCUCCUGGACGCGUCCAUGUCCGCCAAGCUCUGCGACUUCGGGUCGGCGCGGAUGGGGUUCUCCGCGGCCGUCCGCCCGCGGUCGUCGGCGCACACCAUGCUCGGCUCCCCGGGCUACGUCGACCCGCACUACAUCCGCUCCGGCGUGGUCACCAAGAAGACGGACGUGUACAGCUUCGGGGUGCUGCUCCUGGAGCUCCUGACCGGCAUAGAGGCCUUCUGCCCCGUGGAGGGCCGGCUGCUGACGGCCGUCCUCGCCCCGCGGCUCAAGGCCGCCUGCGACGCGCGGAUGCUGGUCGACGAGCGGCUCGGGAGCGCGUACGACGCGGGCGAGGCAUCCGCCGUGGCCGCGCUGGCGGCGUCGUGCGUGGGGCAGAACCCCAGCCUCCGCCCGUCCAUGGGCGACGUGGUGCGCACGCUGGAGCAGAGCGCGCAGGGGUCCAUCCUCGCCGCGGGGAGAGGAUCGGACGGCCAGGGGAAGCUGUGA